AAAAAAAAAAAAAAAACCUAGAAUGCACCGGGUAUAUGGUUGACGUGGCGCCUCCAAUCGAUAAAAUUAUCCUCCUUGGGUUGAUAUGUCCCAUCAUGAUUAAUAAAAAAAUAUUUUUGUUGUACUUUUCUGACAAAUAGAGAGAUAUGAUUAGCUUGUUACUGAUGAUAUGAUACAAGUGUGAUACAAUAUAUUUCUUUCUAAAUCUGACCUAGUAAUAACACUCUCCAAGAAAUUUAGUUCAUUUUUCCCUUUUU
RNAcentral lists this long non-coding RNA (257 nucleotides) under Ananas comosus (pineapple). RNAcentral's name for it is "long non-coding RNA (ACOM_LNC025731)". The record is from RNAcentral. Lineage: Eukaryota; Viridiplantae; Streptophyta; Magnoliopsida; Poales; Bromeliaceae.